This 253-nucleotide ribosomal RNA is filed under the name uncultured bacterium. Its description in RNAcentral is "partial 16S ribosomal RNA". It matches the Rfam family "Bacterial small subunit ribosomal RNA", at positions 524 to 776 of the family's 1533-position model. The record is from RNAcentral.
UACGGAGGGUGCAAGCGUUGUUCGGAAUUACUGGGCGUAAAGAGUGCGUAGGCGGCUUGGCAAGUUGGGAGUGAAAGCCCGGGGCUCAACCUCGGAAUAGCUUCCAAAACUGCUGAGCUUGAGUAUGGUAGAGGAGAGUGGAAUUCUUAGUGUAGGGGUGAAAUCCGUAGAUAUUAAGAGGAACACCAGAGGCGAAGGCGACUCUCUGGGCCAUUACUGACGCUAAGGCACGAAAGCGUGGGGAGCAAACAGG